Long non-coding RNA from Corticium candelabrum, 814 nucleotides. RefSeq lists it as uncharacterized. The record is from RefSeq and is a predicted model, not a curated record. NCBI's taxonomy places the organism in Eukaryota, Metazoa, Porifera, Homoscleromorpha, Homosclerophorida, Plakinidae. The transcript is spliced from 4 exons.
CGGAUAAGUUUAACUUGCACGUGCACGGUAGACCAUUCUCACGUGCACAAAUGGCUAGUAGUUCGAAAUGUGAGGUGCUAUGCUGACAGAUCGUGGGAAUUGCGCUUUCUCUGCGAGCAGUUACCACACUCAAAAUCGACUUUCUCGAGAAACAAUUGACUCCAGAAAAGCUUCACGUGAUGCAGUUAUUAUACAAGAUGGCAGAAAUCAAGGAAUAUGAACAAUCCAGGACAUUUGUUGUUGUGAAUUCAGUUAAUAUGUAGUGGCGAGCUAAUAUUUAGUGGUGGAAGUUUUGAUUGAUGUCUACAGUCAAUGUUAUUAAUUAAAUUUAUAUAGUAAAUGUCGAUUGAUUAUUGCAGUUAAUAUUUAUUGAUUUAAUACAUUUCAUAUUUUCUUUGAUUAAUUAACACAGUCAAUAUUGUAAAUAGAGUCAACGUAACUUCUUUAUUCUGGUUGUUGCAGAUUCUAGAUGAGUAACCUGGAUAACUUCCAUUAUUGCACCUGCCAGAAGACGAAUUACAUGUGUGGUUUAGGCAUAAUUCACCUAUGUUUCGAUUAAUUAACAUUUCUGGAUCUCGAUAAGUUCAUCUUUCGAGAUUCUCCAGAGUUACACAGAAAGUGCCUUUUCUUCAGGGAGCUGCCGUGACCAAUUUUCUGAAGAAAUGAGUGCAACUAAGUUUGUAUAGCUGCAUUGCAUUUUGACUCGUAGUGCUUUUAGCUAUUGUACUUUGUACAUUUGAUAGAUUAUUUGCAGGAUCUUUUGGGAGACCAGCCAUGCUGAAAGUGAUUUCUGAAUAGAUUUGCAUACAUGAUG